Molecule: ribosomal RNA, 2196 nt
Filed under: Triticum aestivum (bread wheat)
Lineage: Eukaryota; Viridiplantae; Streptophyta; Magnoliopsida; Poales; Poaceae
Description: partial small subunit ribosomal RNA
Source: RNAcentral
AUGGGCAGGAACGGGAGCGUCAAGCGGGGCGCGGCCGCCGCGGCGCCUCCGUCGUUCACGGUGAACCCGGCCGACUACCGGCUCAUGGAGGAGGUGGGCUACGGCGCGCACGCCGUCGUGUACCGCGCGCUCUUCCUCCCCAGGAACCAGACCGUUGCCGUCAAGUGCCUGGAUCUCGACCAGCUCAACAACAACAUCGAUGAAGUACAAAGGGAGGCUCAAAUAAUGAGCUUGAUCGAUCACCCUAAUGUCAUCAGGGCUUACUGCUCAUUUGUUGUGGAGCACAGUCUUUGGGUCAUAAUGCCAUUCAUGACGGAGGGUUCAUGUUUACACUUGAUGAAGAUUGCGUAUCCUGAAGGUUUCGAGGAACCUGUCAUUGCAUCAAUUUUAAAAGAAACACUCAAGGCUCUGGAGUACCUUCAUAGGCAAGGACAAAUCCAUCGUGAUAUCAAGGCUGGUAACAUCCUUAUUGAUAGUGCUGGUGUAGUGAAGCUUGGGGACUUUGGCGUUUCUGCUUGUAUGUUUGAUAGAGGUGAUAGGCAAAGAUCUAGGAACACAUUUGUUGGAACUCCAUGCUGGAUGGCUCCAGAAGUGCUCCAGCCUGGCACUGGAUAUAACUUCAAAGCCGAUAUAUGGUCGUUUGGAAUUACUGCACUUGAACUAGCGCAUGGACAUGCUCCAUUUUCGAAGUACCCCCCUAUGAAGGUUCUUCUCAUGACUCUCCAGAAUGCGCCACCUGGUCUUGACUAUGACCGAGACAGAAGAUUUUCGAAGGCAUUUAAAGAGAUGGUUGCGAUGUGCUUGGUGAAAGAUCAAACAAAGAGGCCGACGGCUGAGAAGUUGCUCAAACAUUCAUUUUUCAAAACUGCAAAACCUCCAGAAUCGACAAUGAAGGGUAUGUUAACUGAUCUACCUCCUCUAUGGGAGCGUGUAAAGGCACUCCAGCUUAAAGACGCAGCACAAUUGGCUUUGAAGAAAAUGCCUUCUUCUGAGCAGGAGGCACUUUCCCUGAGUGAAUACCAGCGAGGUGUUAGUGCGUGGCACUUUGAUAUUGAAGACCUCAAGGCUCAAGCAUCACUAAUUUAUGAGGAUGAACCAUCUGAAACAAAAGAAGACGAUGUCGCUGCAAGAAUCAUUGAAUCUGAAAAGAGUUUAUAUUCAAGGACCCCUUCAGGACAGUCGUCAUCUGCAAAUGAAAAUACCUGCAGUGAAGAAACCUCUACGACGAAUCCUGAUUGUAGAAGGAUGCCCAAUGGACAUGAAAAUUCUAGAUCAGAGAAUGAUUCAUUGCCAUCUACAUCAAGGGAACCAGAGUCGAAAUAUUGGAGAACUAAUGUUGGACAGAAACAACAGACUUCUGGGGGUCCAGUUGAAGGUGGUGUUAAUAGCUCAACAACUGAAAGGAGCCAUAAUUUUGAAAGGGAUGCAACUGCUGACAAACAUGGAAGUGAUACGAGAAGAGCCGCAAAUCUUAGUGGUCCAUUAUCAUUGCCAACUCGUGCCUCUGCAAACAGUUACUCAGCUCCUAUACGGUCUUCAGGAGGAUAUGUAGAUUCAUUGGGAGAUAAAUCUAAACGUAGCGUGGUGCAUAUUAAAGGCCGCUUUUCUGUGACAUCUGAGAACGUUGAUCUUGCGAAGGUUCAGGAAAUUCCAUUGAGUAGCAUCUCACGCAAAUCACCACAGGGUAUACAGCUAAGAAAAUCCGCAAGUGUUGGUGAUUGGAUUGUCAAUGCCAAACCAAUGUGGAGAAAUGAAGACACACCUAAAAGGCACUGUAUUUUACCUUUCAAAAUGUCUAACAGUCAUCAUCUGAAGGAACUCUGCAAUAGCUCGGUAUCAUCGUCUGUUCUCAUUCCCCACCUUGAGAACCUCGUGCAACAGACUACGCUUCAGCAAGAUCUGAUCGUGAACCUACUAAGUAGCAUGCAACAGAAUGAGAAAGCUGACGGUGCACAGUCUGGAACGUCGUCGCAAGUCCGAAAUAUGCAAAGUGAGACGGUGGUUGAAACAUCUAAUACUGAGAAAGAACGGUCAUUACUUGUUAAAAUUUCAGAGCUGCAGUCUAGAAUGAUUACUUUGACUGACGAACUGAUUUCAGCCAAGCAAAAACAUGUUCAGUUGCAGCAAGAACUUAAUGCAUUAUACUGCCGAGAAGAAAUAGAAGACAUUAGGGACGAGGACAAUGAAGAAACAUAG